UUCACAUCUCCCAUUCUCCCAGCAGAGGUUUUAAGGACAGCAACUUUUGAUCACUUGUCUUUAUUAAGUC
RNAcentral lists this long non-coding RNA (70 nucleotides) under Anas platyrhynchos platyrhynchos (common mallard). Its description in RNAcentral is "lncRNA (ENSAPLG00000020260.1)". Lineage: Eukaryota; Metazoa; Chordata; Aves; Anseriformes; Anatidae. The record is from RNAcentral.